Molecule: ribosomal RNA, 253 nt
Filed under: uncultured bacterium
Lineage: Bacteria
Description: partial 16S ribosomal RNA
Rfam family: Bacterial small subunit ribosomal RNA
Source: RNAcentral
GACGUAGGGGGCCAGCGUUGUUCGGAAUUACUGGGUGUAAAGGGUUCGUAGGCGGUGUGGCAAGUCGGGGGUGAAAUCUCUGGGCUCAACCCAGAGACUGCUUCCGAAACUGCUGUGCUUGAGUGUGAGAGAGGCUCGUGGAAUUGCAGGUGUAGCGGUGAAAUGCGUAGAUAUCUGCAGGAACACCCGUGGCGAAAGCGGCGAGCUGGAUCACUACUGACGCUGAGGAACGAAAGCUAGGGGAGCAAACAGG